This 356-nucleotide ribosomal RNA is filed under the name uncultured bacterium. RNAcentral's name for it is "partial 16S ribosomal RNA". It matches the Rfam family "Bacterial small subunit ribosomal RNA", at positions 338 to 710 of the family's 1533-position model. The record is from RNAcentral.
CCUACGGGGGGCAGCAGUGGGGGAUAUUGCACAAUGGGGGGAACCCUGAUGCAGCGACGCCGCGUGGGUGAAGGAGCGUUUCGGCGCGUAAAGCCCUAUCGGCAGGGAAGAAGGAGGACGGUACCUGACUAAGAAGCCCCGGCUAUAUACGUGCCAGCAGCCGCGGUAAUACGGAGGGGGCACGCGUGAUCCGGAUUUACUGGGUGUAACGGGGGCGCAGACGGCAGGGCAAGGCGGGUGUGAAAGGGCGGGGCCCAACCGCGGGACUGCUGUUGGAACUGUGGGGCUGGAGACCAGGUGGGGCAGGCGGAAUUCGUGGGGUAGCGGUGAAAUGCUUAGAUAUGAGGAGGAACACC